This 75-nucleotide transfer RNA is filed under the name Eubacteriaceae bacterium. Its description in RNAcentral is "tRNA-Glu". It matches the Rfam family "tRNA". Rfam says of the family: Transfer RNA (tRNA) molecules are approximately 80 nucleotides in length. Their secondary structure includes four short double-helical elements and three loops (D, anti-codon, and T loops). The record is from RNAcentral. Lineage: Bacteria; Bacillati; Bacillota; Clostridia; Eubacteriales; Eubacteriaceae.
GGCCCCUUGGUCAAGUGGUUAAGACACCGCCCUUUCACGGCGGUAACAGGAGUUCAAAUCUCCUAGGGGUCACCA